CUAUUUCCCCUCCGCCUGACCAACUUGGCAUUCGGAGUUCAAGUUCACAGGAGAGGGGGUGGGCCUCUCCUCUCCGGGACAGGAACUGGAGUCAGAGGCUUUCCCUGCAACGGGUUCAGAGAGAAGAGCAGUAGGAAUGCCCUGCAGCGCCUGGGUUCCUGAACCGUCUCCCUUGGAAAAGUCCGACCUCCGCUCGCCCUCACCCCUGCAAGAAUCCGGAUGCAGACCAAGUUCAGCAGCACGCGGGACAUGCUGGAUGCCGAUGGAGACACCACCAUGAGCUUGCAUCCUCGAACCUCUACCACAACCCAGCGGCCAGAGCCUGGCCACCCAGAGCACCGGCCUCCCUCUUCUGCUUGGCGUCCCGUGGCCCUGACCCUGCUGACUCUGUGUUUGGUGCUGCUGAUUGGCCUGGCAGCUCUGGGGCUUGUGUGUAAGUCUGCGCCUUGACUUGGGAGCGGCUCCUGGUGUAACCGAAACGAAGCCUCUGUACACUGGCAUCAGUAUAGAAAAUAGAAAUAGAAAUACAAGUGAAGAAAUAAGCUGUCCAGUCUGACUUGGUAACUUGGGUUAGUUUUUCAGUUCUACCAGCUCUCCAACACUCAGCAAGACAGCAUUUCUCAAAAGGAAGAAAGGUUGGGGAAUCUCUCCCAACAGCUGCAAUCUCUCCAAACCCAGAACAGGAAGCUUGCGGAAACUCUCCACCAUGUGGCUGAAAAACUCUGUCGUGAGCUCUAUAACAAAACUGGAGAGCACAGAUGCAGCCCUUGUCCAGAAAAAUGGAAGUGGCAUGGGGACAAAUGCUACCAAUUCUAUAAAGAAAGCAAGAGUUGGCAGGGCUGUGAAUAUUUCUGCAUUGCCGAGAACUCAACCAUGCUGAAGAUAAACACACAAGAAGUUCUGGAGUUUGCCAUGCCUCAGAGCUACUCUGAGUUUUUCUACUCUUAUUGGACAGGGCUAUCCCGCAGUAGCAGCAGCAAAGCUUGGCUGUGGAUGGAUGGAGCCCCUUACUCCUCUGAACUGUUUGAGAUUAUAAUAGACAUCACCAGCCUAAGAAACAGGGACUGCGUGACCAUCCUCAAUGGAAAGGCUUUCUCCAAAGACUGCAGGGAGUUGAGGCGGUGUGCAUGCGAAAGAACAGCGGCUGCAGUGAAGCUGCAGAGGCUCUAGGAGCCUCUCUGAGCUGGGACGUGGGGCGGAUGAUUCCCCAGCAACAGCCACAACUGCAAGCUCCCUUCAGAGAAACUGAAGAUUUUGUUUUGCGGAACAAAAGUCCAUCGCUUUGGGUGCACCUGGUGAUCUCAGUUCUUAUUUUCUUCCAUUGAAUCCCUGUUUAUACCUUCCAGGUACUGACUAUUUAAUAAUAAUAAAUGUAACUAAUGUGAA
Molecule: non-coding RNA, 1386 nt
Organism: Sus scrofa (pig)
Lineage: Eukaryota; Metazoa; Chordata; Mammalia; Artiodactyla; Suidae
Source: RefSeq, a predicted model, not a curated record